ACUCAAAGGAUGUAUCACAGACACAAUGUACACAAUGUGAUAGAAGAAUAACCCUUUUAUUCAUUUAUAGUCAAAAUUAUAAUUUUGCCCUUAGAUUUGUACAGAAAUGUGUCAGCUGAUCUGGCAUCUAGGACACACAUCUAACAAACUCCCACUUGACCUAAUGCCAAUUGGCUACAUAUCUAAGUCCCAUCUUCUCAAGGUGGGCUUCGAUCUUCUGUUGGCCCAAUGGCUUAGUCAGUGGGUCUGCCACAUUGUCUGUGGAGUCGACUCUCUUGACCUCGACAUAACCCUUUUUGAGG
Molecule: long non-coding RNA, 302 nt
Filed under: Elaeis guineensis (African oil palm)
Lineage: Eukaryota; Viridiplantae; Streptophyta; Magnoliopsida; Arecales; Arecaceae
Description: long non-coding RNA (EGUI_LNC056475)
Source: RNAcentral